Molecule: long non-coding RNA, 1536 nt
Organism: Silurus meridionalis
Lineage: Eukaryota; Metazoa; Chordata; Actinopteri; Siluriformes; Siluridae
Exons: 7
Source: RefSeq, a predicted model, not a curated record
UAGUAAUGAUCAUGUUUAUGUGACGUUAAGAUUUAGGAAGUUUACUGAAGCUGAACUACUUUAAUGCUAGCUAGAGCUUCCCGGAUGUUCUGUGUAAGCACGUGACUAGCGCGUGACUAAUGAUGAAUCCUCGAACAUUAAUGAAAUCAAAUAAGCUGAAGAUCAGAUUCGUGAACGUGUAUCAUUGUAGGAAUAGAUCCAAAACGUGUUUUGAGGUACCUGAUCCUGAUAAUGAACAAAGUCUGCUGAGAUGUUGUUCUCCAUGCUGGAACGAACGACUUCAGUUUGAGGCAAAUGGAGAUCCUGUAGAGGGACUUUUCCUUAUUCUGGUUGAGACAAAUUUUAGUGGGAUUCCAAUCAGACAACAUCUUCAGGACGCUGCACUCCGUCUGACUGAUCUAUCAACACUUUAAUCUCGUAAGGAGCGCGAGACUGAGAGGAACCACCACAUCCAGGUCUUCACCAACAAGCAGAAGACCUUACUGAGAUGAGAACACCAGGAUAACCCUGUCCAUCAUAACGUGCAGAGGAUGGAGAAUGUGCAGACUCGGAAUAUGACUCCCUCUUUCACACCAAGCCAGAAGGUAGAGCCAAAUAAAGAAAAUACCCCAGCAGUAGACACAGUUCCACAGCUCCACCUCAAGUUCCAGCUGUAGAACAGAGUCCAGCUCCACCUCAAUUUCCAGCUGAAGAACAGAGUCCAGCUCCACCUCAAGUUCCAGCUGUGCAGGAUGUAUCCAUGGCUGCAGCACCUCAGAAGCGCUUAACCAUUAACAUGUUGGAGUCUGCAGAUUUUGAAAUGCAGAUCCAGAUGGCACGCGGAUGAAAUGAACAUAAUCUUAAAAAAAACAGGAGAAGCAGGAGUCAAGUCGGAAACAUCAAUGUUUUUCGGCGCAAAGAAAAAGAGAAAGAACAAGAAGAAGAAGGGGAAAAAAUUACAAUAAUAAAAAUAAUUAUACAUCAUUAUUUCUUAUAAUUCUUUCUUUAUAAAUAAUAAUAAAAUAAUAUAAAUAUGAUAUUAAUCUCGCAUGUUAUUUUUUAUGUUUAUAUAUUCAUUUAUUUUUUUUAUUAAUGAUUAUUUAUUAUAUACAAACAUUUGUAAAGACAAUCUACACCCUGAAGGCUUAAGCAGAUCAGCUUUCUCUGUUUGCACAAAGACAAAUAAAUUGAUUACAUUAAAUACUGUUUAAUUGUCAGGGAUCCCCCUGCCACACCUCCCUCAGCCGCUGUCAGGGAUUUACCCUGCCACGCCCCCCUCGGUAGCAGUCACACCACCUCAUUAUCCCGUGCCUGCCUUGACGACCGACAGCUGUGGCUCAUCUCGGGUUAGACUAUAUAAACUCAUGUUCUCGAGUCACAGGCUGUCGGUUCUUGAAUGUCAUGCUGGUGCUUCCCGUGGCUGCUCGACCGCCAGCAUUCCCCGCUGGUUCAGUGUCAGAACUCCGUUACAUGUUGGACUCCUCUUUGCCGUUGGAGGUUUGCUUUCGUUUUGCUUUCCGUUGGCCAGUGACUUUCAUUGUGGAUUACUCGUCUCGA